Molecule: RNA transcript, 1184 nt
Organism: Asparagus officinalis (garden asparagus)
Lineage: Eukaryota; Viridiplantae; Streptophyta; Magnoliopsida; Asparagales; Asparagaceae
Gene name: shaggy-related protein kinase GSK4-like
Exons: 7
Source: RefSeq, a predicted model, not a curated record
AGUCACCGCCCAGUAUUCUCACUCUCCAUUCUUACGCUCUGCAGCCAGGGGCGUAGCUAUUAAGAGCUUGCCCUGGGGCAAGAAAAUGAAAUUUUUUUCAAUACCCUCAGAGCCCUCUCUUCGCCGAGCAAGAGCAACCUGAUGCUGACCAUCGCGAUCCCCUAGAGACUCGCCGCCGCCGGCCGAAAAUGGCUGAAGAAAAGCUGGAUACACAAUUUUACCUGUAGAUCUGCAGAUCCAUGGCAAAUUCGCCUUUUUAGGGUUUAGUUAUUGAGGGGAAUUUCGGUAUUUUCGCUUUGGUCUUGUAUAAAGUGACCUGUUUUAGGAAAAAAAUCCGUUCUUGUUUCGGUUUGGUAUCUUCAGCCAUAGCUUCCUUGUUUGAUUGGUUUUGUGUUAUUCCUCUGAGCCUGAGCUUAAAAGCUCUUUGAUGCUUGCUUUCGAAGUCUCUCCCUUUUGUAUUGCCCUUGAAAGUUCCCUUCGGUUUUGGCUAGUUUUGGCUGUUGUAUUGCCCUUGAAAGUCUCUCAACCUGGUCAUGGAGUUUGUGCCUGAAUCUUUAUACCGAGUUCUUAAGCAUUAUAGUAGUAUGAACCAGAGGAUGCCAUUGAUAUUUGUGAAGUUCUAUACCUAUCAGAUUUUCAGGGGGCUAGCUUAUAUUCAUAGUGUUCCAGGUGUUUGCCAUAGAGAUGUGAAGCCACAGAAUGUUCUGGUUGAUCCUCUCACUCACCAAGUUAAGCUUUGUGGUUUUGGAAGCGCCAAAAUUCUGGUUAAGGGUGAAGCAAACAUAUCUUGCAUUUGUUCACGCUAUUAUCGUGCUCCGGAACUUAUAUUUGGGGUGACAGAGUACGCUACUUCUAUUGACAUAUGGUCAGCAGGCUGUCCUUGCUGAGUUACUCCUUGGGCAGGUAUCUUUCAGUGAUGAAACUGUUCCUCACCAAAGGUCUGAAACAAAUCUCAAAUGGAGAGACAAGAGAAGGAAAUUGCUAUGAUUAAUCCAUAUUUUGAAGAACUUAAAUGGUUUUUUUCCUUGCUUUUCCUCUUCAUAAAUUGAUACCAAAGCAGGAGUGAUGUGUAAUGAUUAGAGAGACUAAAUUUAAAAGUUAUUGUCUGUACUAAAAAUAUGGCUUAAAGCCCUUUAUCUUUUUCACGAUGUGCUUACUCAGAUGAACAUGUUUUAUUUCAACUA